Molecule: ribosomal RNA, 1434 nt
Filed under: uncultured organism
Description: 16S ribosomal RNA
Rfam family: Bacterial small subunit ribosomal RNA
Source: RNAcentral
CAGGCUUAACACAUGCAAGUCGAGGGGCAGCAUGGUCUUAGCUUGCUGAGGCCGAUGGCGACCGGCGCACGGGUGAGUAACACGUAUCCAACCUGCCGUCUACUCUUGGACAGCCUUCUGAAAGGAAGAUUAAUACAAGAUGGCAUCAUGAGUCCGCAUGUUCACAUGAUUAAAGGUAUUCCGGUAGACGAUGGGGAUGCGUUCCAUUAGAUAGUAGGCGGGGUAACGGCCCACCUAGUCUUCGAUGGAUAGGGGUUCUGAGAGGAAGGUCCCCCACAUUGGAACUGAGACACGGUCCAAACUCCUACGGGAGGCAGCAGUGAGGAAUAUUGGUCAAUGGGCGAGAGCCUGAACCAGCCAAGUAGCGUGAAGGAUGACUGCCCUAUGGGUUGUAAACUUCUUUUAUAAAGGAAUAAAGUCGGGUAUGGAUACCCGUUUGCAUGUACUUUAUGAAUAAGGAUCGGCUAACUCCGUGCCAGCAGCCGCGGUAAUACGGAGGAUCCGAGCGUUAUCCGGAUUUAUUGGGUUUAAAGGGAGCGUAGAUGGAUGUUUAAGUCAGUUGUGAAAGUUUGCGGCUCAACCGUAAAAUUGCAGUUGAUACUGGAUAUCUUGAGUGCAGUUGAGGCAGGCGGAAUUCGUGGUGUAGCGGUGAAAUGCUUAGAUAUCACGAAGAACUCCGAUUGCGAAGGCAGCCUGCUAAGCUGCAACUGACAUUGAGGCUCGAAAGUGUGGGUAUCAAACAGGAUUAGAUACCCUGGUAGUCCACACGGUAAACGAUGAAUACUCGCUGUUUGCGAUAUACUGCAAGCGGCCAAGCGAAAGCGUUAAGUAUUCCACCUGGGGAGUACGCCGGCAACGGUGAAACUCAAAGGAAUUGACGGGGGCCCGCACAAGCGGAGGAACAUGUGGUUUAAUUCGAUGAUACGCGAGGAACCUUACCCGGGCUUAAAUUGCAGAUGAAUUACGGUGAAAGCCGUAAGCCGCAAGGCAUCUGUGAAGGUGCUGCAUGGUUGUCGUCAGCUCGUGCCGUGAGGUGUCGGCUUAAGUGCCAUAACGAGCGCAACCCUUGUUGUCAGUUACUAACAGGUUCCGCUGAGGACUCUGACAAGACUGCCAUCGUAAGAUGUGAGGAAGGUGGGGAUGACGUCAAAUCAGCACGGCCCUUACGUCCGGGGCUACACACGUGUUACAAUGGGGGGUACAGAGGGCCGCUACCACGCGAGUGGAUGCCAAUCCCCAAAACCUCUCUCAGUUCGGACUGGAGUCUGCAACCCGACUCCACGAAGCUGGAUUCGCUAGUAAUCGCGCAUCAGCCACGGCGCGGUGAAUACGUUCCCGGGCCUUGUACACACCGCCCGUCAAGCCAUGGGAGCCGGGGGUACCUGAAGUGCGUAACCGCGAGGAGCGCCCUAGGGUAAAACUGGUGACUGGGGC